Molecule: ribosomal RNA, 478 nt
Filed under: uncultured bacterium
Lineage: Bacteria
Description: partial 16S ribosomal RNA
Rfam family: Bacterial small subunit ribosomal RNA
Source: RNAcentral
GAUGAACGCUGGCGGCGUGCUUAACACAUGCAAGUCGAACGGUAAGGCCCUUCGGGGUACACGAGUGGCGAACGGGUGAGUAACACGUGGGUGAUCUGCCCUGCACUUCGGGAUAAGCCUGGGAAACUGGGUCUAAUACCGGAUAGGACCACUGCCUGCAUGGGUGGUGGUGGAAAGCUUUUGCGGUGUGGGAUGGGCCCGCGGCCUAUCAGCUUGUCGGUGGGGUGAUGGCCUACCAAGGCGACGACGGGUAGCCGGCCUGAGAGGGUGACCGGCCACACUGGGACUGAGAUACGGCCCAGACUCCUACGGGAGGCAGCAGUGGGGAAUAUUGCACAAUGGGCGCAAGCCUGAUGCAGCGACGCCGCGUGAGGGAUGACGGCCUUCGGGUUGUAAACCUCUUUCAGCAUCGACGAAGCGAAAGUGACGGUAGGUGCAGAAGAAGGACCGGCCAACUACGUGCCAGCAGCCGCGGUAA